UAGGGAAUCUUCGGCAAUGGGGGGAACCCUGACCGAGCAACGCCGCGUGAGUGAAGAAGGUUUUCGGAUCGUAAAGCUCUGUUGUUAAGGAAUAACGAGUGUGAGAAUGGAAAGUUCAUACUGUGACGGUACUUAACCAGAAAGGGACGGCUAACUACGUGCCAGCAGCCGCGGUAAUACGUAGGUCCCGAGCGUUGUCCGGAUUUAUUGGGCGUAAAGCGAGCUCAGGCGGUUAGAUAAGUCUGAAGUUAAAGGCAGUGGCUCAACCAUUGUAGGCUUUGGAAACUGUUUAACUUGAGUGCAGAAGGGGAGAGUGGAAUUCCAUGUGUAGCGGUGAAAUGCGUAGAUAUAUGGAGGAACACCGGUGGCGAAAGCGGCUCUCUGGUCUGUAACUGACGCAGAGGCUCGAAAGCGUGGGGAGCGAACAGG
This 429-nucleotide ribosomal RNA is filed under the name Bacteroidota bacterium. Its description in RNAcentral is "Bacteroidetes bacterium partial 16S ribosomal RNA". It matches the Rfam family "Bacterial small subunit ribosomal RNA", at positions 355 to 776 of the family's 1533-position model. Lineage: Bacteria; Pseudomonadati; Bacteroidota. The record is from RNAcentral.